RNAcentral lists this ribosomal RNA (465 nucleotides) under uncultured bacterium. RNAcentral describes it as "bacterial SSU rRNA". It matches the Rfam family "Bacterial small subunit ribosomal RNA", at positions 330 to 793 of the family's 1533-position model. The record is from RNAcentral.
UCCAGACUCCUACGGGAGGCAGCAGUGAGGAAUAUUGGUCAAUGGGCGCGAGCCUGAACCAGCCAAGUAGCGUGAAGGAUGACUGCCCUACGGGUUGUAAACUUCUUUUAUAAAGGAAUAAAGUGAGGCACGUGUGCCUUUUUGUAUGUACUUUAUGAAUAAGGAUCGGCUAACUCCGUGCCAGCAGCCGCGGUAAUACGGAGGAUCCGAGCGUUAUCCGGAUUUAUUGGGUUUAAAGGGUGCGUAGGCGGUCCGUUAAGUCAGCGGUAAAAUUGCGGGGCUCAACCCCGUCGAGCCGUUGAAACUGGCAGACUUGAGUUGGCGAGAAGUAUGCGGAAUGCGUGGUGUAGCGGUGAAAUGCAUAGAUAUCACGCAGAACUCCGAUUGCGAAGGCAGCAUACCGGCGCCCAACUGACGCUGAAGCACGAAAGCGUGGGUAUCGAACAGGAUUAGAUACCCUGGUAU